GGCAUCGGCUGCAGCAGGAUGGUGGAGCAGUACCAAGCAGCAAUCUCCCCCAUUGUGAGCAGGAGCAAUUUGGAGAGACAGAUUCAGCCAUGUGUCCUGAUGUGUUGCAUAAAUAUCAGACUCUCAGAGAAGCAUUCCAUGAAAGGCAUAUGAGUCAGGAAGCCCUAAAGAUGGCGCCAUCCUUAGCCACUCUGUCUGCAAUCAGGU
Myotis davidii is the source of this 207-nucleotide long non-coding RNA. RefSeq lists it as uncharacterized. The transcript has 3 exons. Lineage: Eukaryota; Metazoa; Chordata; Mammalia; Chiroptera; Vespertilionidae. The record is from RefSeq and is a predicted model, not a curated record.